RNAcentral lists this ribosomal RNA (270 nucleotides) under uncultured archaeon. RNAcentral's name for it is "partial 16S ribosomal RNA". It matches the Rfam family "Archaeal small subunit ribosomal RNA", at positions 477 to 747 of the family's 1478-position model. The record is from RNAcentral.
CAGCACCUCAAGUGGUCAGGAUGAUUAUUGGGCCUAAAGCAUCCGUAGCCUGCUUUGUUAGUUUUCGGUUAGAUCUGUACGCUCAACGUACAGGCUGCCGGGAAUACUGCAGCGCUAGGGAGUGGGAGAGGUAGACGGUACUCGGUAGGAAGGGGUAAAAUCCUUUGAUCUAUUGAUGACCACCUGUGGCGAAGGCGGUCUACCAGAACACGUCCGACGGUGAGGGAUGAAAGCUGGGGGAGCAAACCGGAUUAGAUACCCGAGUAGUCC